GGGAGGAAAGCAUGAAUGUGUGGUUAACUUGAAAUUAACAGGUGGCAGUUAGAAUCUGCCUCUUCUCG
RNAcentral lists this transfer RNA (68 nucleotides) under Protobothrops xiangchengensis. RNAcentral describes it as "tRNA-Ser". It matches the Rfam family "tRNA". From Rfam's summary of the family: Transfer RNA (tRNA) molecules are approximately 80 nucleotides in length. Their secondary structure includes four short double-helical elements and three loops (D, anti-codon, and T loops). Lineage: Eukaryota; Metazoa; Chordata; Lepidosauria; Squamata; Viperidae. The record is from RNAcentral.